Molecule: long non-coding RNA, 651 nt
Organism: Leptidea sinapis
Lineage: Eukaryota; Metazoa; Arthropoda; Insecta; Lepidoptera; Pieridae
Exons: 3
Source: RefSeq, a predicted model, not a curated record
GAGAAAAAUAUGACGUUUCAUCAGUAAAAAUUGAAGUUAUUUAUGAAGAGGGCCAACUACAAGUGCCAUCUCUUGCGCCUGUGGUUAGCACAUCUUCACUACCAGUUUCGUCGGCUUUUCCAAUCUGGAGGCAGCAGUGCAGUGACUACACCAAGUAGCUCAGCACUCAUACCGCAACGUCACGGCAAACCAAGAUCACGUUCUCGGAAACCUCUCGUGGUAGUGAAUUAAGCAGCUCCGAUGAUGAUGAUGACAGUGACUCAGUGGUGCCAUUUUUGUUGCCGAGGGAGUACCAGCAGUCUCUGGACAUUCCCAUGGACCCUAAACUGGAUUUACCUGUUCCACCUAUUGAACCGCCUACUGCUAUUCCUGAAAAAAAGCCUGGAGACCAAUCCAUCAAACCUGAACUGGAUGGACUUAGUGAUGGAGCAAUGCAACCUGUUGAUCUCUUUCACUUUAUGUGGUCAGAUUACCCAAACCCUCCAAUUCCAUCGCGUGAAAAAGGUUCCCUACCUUUCACACAACAGAAUGUUGGCCCAACUGUGAGGUGCAGAGAUCCAUAUGAAAUUUUUACAACAAUUUGGGACCAAAAAAUAAUGAACCACAUUGUGAAAGAGACCAACAGGUACGCAGAAGAUCAGGUGUCACGGG